RNAcentral lists this unclassified non-coding RNA (601 nucleotides) under Hevea brasiliensis (rubber tree). The record is from RNAcentral. Lineage: Eukaryota; Viridiplantae; Streptophyta; Magnoliopsida; Malpighiales; Euphorbiaceae.
GUUUUCUUUGAUGUGGAUUCGUGGAUUUGGAGAAAAUUUGCUUUACCUUUUGUGGGAAUUUGUGAAAAAUGACGUUUUCGUUAGUGAUUUGCUGAUGCAAGUGUAUUGGUAUUAAUUUGGGGUGUUUUGGCUGGAGUUUUCCCUCUGUUUCAUCCUGUGUUUAUGGACUCUUUCUUUUAGGCUUGUAGUUAAAUAUGGAUAAAUUGGCAAUUUUCCUUGAUUAUUUAAUGGCGGACUUGGGUUUGAACUAGAAUCUUGAUGCGAGUGUCAUAAACCAAAGGUAUGAGUUGCAAUAGACGAAAAUUUCGAAAUCUUUAUGCGUUUUAUGGACCGAAAUGUUAGUUUGCGCCAGGCAAAGUUAGUGGAGAGUGGAGACUUCUAUUUUGUUGGUUGUCAAUUAGUGGAAGCUGAGAAUUCAGAUUCUGAUUUCUUGAAAGUUCAUUUCUUUGUGACCUUUCCUCAACAGCCAUAGAAUUUAUGUUUGUAGCCAAGUGUGCUUCUUUGUUCAUUGUUUUAUUCAUAUUCAUUAUUUAACUUCGAUUAUUUCAUUGAACAAUGCAAUUUUCUAACUUGUGAGGCCUGAUUUCUGUUAUUGUGGCAG